Molecule: long non-coding RNA, 562 nt
Organism: Ailuropoda melanoleuca (giant panda)
Lineage: Eukaryota; Metazoa; Chordata; Mammalia; Carnivora; Ursidae
Exons: 3
Source: RefSeq, a predicted model, not a curated record
AUCCAAGGAACCCACGGGAGCGGAGAAGACCAUUGGCCCAUCCCUGUCCUUCUUGGCCCUGCUGCCACCUUCCCGAGAUACUCUGUGAAUGUAUCGCCUAUCAGAGCCCUGGGCCACCGAGUAAGAAGUUCAACUACCCUGAGGCUGCAAUGGCAUGAGGAAGCCCAAGCCACACGGAGAGGGCACGUGGAGGUGCUCUGGCUGGCAGCCCCUGGUGACUCUCAGCGGCCAGCCAGCACCAACCGCCAGAUGAUUCUACCCUCCGGCCCGAGGCCCCAGACGUCACGUGGCCAAGUCAGAAGGGUUUUGAAGCUUUGACCGGCCGAAGAUGAGAGUUGGCACCAAGUGCCUUGGACAGAAGGGCCACCAAUCCUGCAGCUCAGGCCCCCAGCUGCCCUGCUUCCUUCCUGCCUGGGGUGCAGCUUGCCAUUGGAUUCUGAGAGCCUUCUAGAAGCCUUCCAGUAAAUGCUAAGCCCUCUCCUUACGCCCGUAUUUAUUCAUUUACCUCUUUAUUUAGCCAGCACUGUUGGUGUCUGGCACCUGUGACCACAAGAAACUUAAC